GGAAGAAAAGUCGUAACAAGGUUUCUGUAGAUGAACUUGCGGAAGGAUCAUUG
Molecule: ribosomal RNA, 53 nt
Filed under: Camellia hongkongensis
Lineage: Eukaryota; Viridiplantae; Streptophyta; Magnoliopsida; Ericales; Theaceae
Description: partial 16S ribosomal RNA
Rfam family: Eukaryotic small subunit ribosomal RNA
Source: RNAcentral